UUUCCCGCGGAAACUGAUAACGUGACUCUAAAUGUUGCCGCGAAAGAUGCUUCUGGGACGCCAUAUUGGUUUUUUGGUUCGUGCCGAAGGUUGAUGUCUAAUUCCCUAAUGGCCCAAUUUAAUUUAAAGGGAAAUAAAGGGAGGCGGUCCAUAAUGGACUUAGAAAUUUACAAAGUUGUCCGAGAUAGUGUAAUGAUCAGUCAGCCGAGCUGCAAUGAAGCCGAGAUAAUAACAGCAGUUUCGGCUCAUCUAAAAUAUGAGCCGGACAGAAGAGGGACCAAUUAAGUACAUGUACAGUUUAAAUUUGUUUAUUACAUGUCAUAUUUUAUUAUAAUCUUUAUAAGCCAUUUUAAGUUCUUUUAUCAUCCAUUUAAUUUUAUUUUAUUUUCUAUGUGUGAUGUCCACAAAAUGUUAACUGCGCCAUUGAGCAUUGAGUGUUUUA
Long non-coding RNA from Patella vulgata (common limpet), 442 nucleotides. RefSeq lists it as uncharacterized. NCBI's taxonomy places the organism in Eukaryota, Metazoa, Mollusca, Gastropoda, Patellidae. The record is from RefSeq and is a predicted model, not a curated record. The transcript is spliced from 3 exons.